Molecule: ribosomal RNA, 319 nt
Filed under: uncultured Chloroflexota bacterium
Lineage: Bacteria; Bacillati; Chloroflexota
Description: bacterial SSU rRNA
Rfam family: Bacterial small subunit ribosomal RNA
Source: RNAcentral
GAUGAACGCUGGCGGCGUGCUUAAUACAUGCAAGUCGAACGAAGGGUUAGCAAUAACUCUUAGUGGCGAACGGGUGAGUAACGCGUUGGUGACCUACCCCAGAGAGGGGGAUAACAGCUCGAAAGGGCUGCUAAUACCCCAUGUCGUCAUGGCGCUUAGAAAGCCAUGUCGAAAGGUGCAAACCGCUCUGGGAGGGGCCUGCGUCCCAUCAGCUAGUUGGUAAGGUAACGGCCUACCAAGGCUUCGACGGGUAGGGGACCUGAGAGGGUGGCCCCCCACAAUGGAACUGAAACACGGUCCAUACACCUACGGGUGGCAG